RNAcentral lists this ribosomal RNA (339 nucleotides) under Triticum aestivum (bread wheat). Its description in RNAcentral is "partial small subunit ribosomal RNA". Lineage: Eukaryota; Viridiplantae; Streptophyta; Magnoliopsida; Poales; Poaceae. The record is from RNAcentral.
AUGGAAGCAGAACUCACAGCAUUGGACACUGCCACUGUUGAAGCAGAGUGGCUUCGUGAACUCUUGAUGGACUUACUUAUGGUUGAAAAACCAAUACCCCCUAUCCUGAUGAACUGUGAUAAUCAAACUGUGAUCGUCAAGAUAAACAGUUCGAAGGACAAUAUGAAGUCCUCAAGACAUGUGAAGAGGAGACUAAAAUCUGUCAGAAAAUUGAGGAACUCCGGAGUUAUUACGUUGGAUUAUAUCCAAACGUCGAAAAACUUGGCAGAUCCCUUCACAAAGGGUCUAUCACGUAAUGUGAUAGAUAAUGCAUCGAUGGAGAUGGGUUUGAGACCCACC